This 567-nucleotide long non-coding RNA is filed under the name Dromaius novaehollandiae (emu). RNAcentral's name for it is "lncRNA (ENSDNVG00000012709.1)". The record is from RNAcentral. Lineage: Eukaryota; Metazoa; Chordata; Aves; Casuariiformes; Dromaiidae.
GCGCCCGCCGGGGCGCCUUCGCCGGGCGGGCAGCGCCUCUCCGGCCGCCGCUCCGCCUCCUCCGGCGGCGAGUGCCUCCCCCUCAGCCGGGCGGAGGAGGAGGAGGAGGAGGGGCCCUUCGCCCGAAUUUCGGCCCAUCGGAAGAGGCGGCGGGGGGGGCGGGCAGGUGGGGCGAGCCGCGCUCGCCGGUCCCGGGCGCUGCCGGCCGGAGCAGCGGGUCGGGGGCCUCGCCGUAGGCACAGCCGCCUGCGUCGGCCGCUGAAACACGCGGAGGUGUUUUUAGGCAUUACCCACUGCARUGGCACCACCAUAAAGUGGAUGGAUGGAUCAUGGCGGGUGUAACGGAUGCCCACCUGGCUAAAUGUCUACAUGCUGAAGGCAGUUAAAGGGCACUUCCAUCAAGAACUAGGAUGGACAAGGUAAGAAAGAUGGAAGCCCAUGGUAUGUCCACUUACAAAGUAGAACCUUGCAUUAGGUUUCAGAUUGAAGGUUAGAAUUCAGGGCAUGAAAAUGUAAACUUCUUAAUAAGUAGAGAAAAGUACCUACAUUUUUAUGAGACAAACCCAA